UCAUACGGAGGUCCCAAGCAUUAUCCGGUUUUAUUUGGCGUAAAGAGUUCUGUAGGCGGUAUUGUAAGUUACGGGUUAAAUCUUUCGGCUCAACCGAAAUUCUGCUCGUAAUACUGCAGUACUAGAGGUAGAUAGGGGAGGGCGGAACGUAUGGUGUAGCGGUGGAAUGCGUUGAUAUCAUACGGAACACCAAAGGCGAAGGCAGCCCUCUGGGUCUAUUCUGACGCUAAGAGACGAAAGCGUGGGGCGCGAAACGGAUUAGAUACCCGUGUAGUCCACGCUGUAAACGAUGUCUACUAGAUCGUGUUGUCCAUUGGAUGAUGCGUGUCGCAGCUAACGCAAUAAGUAGACCGCCUGAGGAGUACGGUCGCAAGAUUA
This 378-nucleotide ribosomal RNA is filed under the name uncultured bacterium. RNAcentral describes it as "bacterial SSU rRNA". It matches the Rfam family "Bacterial small subunit ribosomal RNA", at positions 521 to 896 of the family's 1533-position model. The record is from RNAcentral.